Molecule: microRNA precursor, 103 nt
Filed under: Marmota monax (woodchuck)
Lineage: Eukaryota; Metazoa; Chordata; Mammalia; Rodentia; Sciuridae
Source: RNAcentral
AGUGGAAUAACUGGGUCAAAUGGUGGUACUAUUCCAACCAUUUGGAGGAAUCUCUAUACUGCUUUCCAGAGUGGUUGCACCAAUUUAGAGCCCCACCAGUAGU